This 253-nucleotide ribosomal RNA is filed under the name uncultured bacterium. RNAcentral describes it as "partial 16S ribosomal RNA". It matches the Rfam family "Bacterial small subunit ribosomal RNA", at positions 524 to 776 of the family's 1533-position model. The record is from RNAcentral.
UACGGGGGGGGCAAGCGUUGUCCGGAAUCAUUGGGCGUAAAGCGCGCGUAGGUGGCUUCGUAAGUCCGUUGUGAAAGUCAAAGGCUCAACCUUUGAAAGCCGAUGGAUACUGCGGAGCUAGAGUACGGAAGAGGCGAGUGGAAUUCCUGGUGUAGCGGUGGAAUGCGCAGAUAUCAGGAGGAACACCAAUAGCGAAGGCAGCUCGCUGGGACGUUACUGACACUGAGGCGCGAAAGCGUGGGGAGCAAACAGG